GCCCUACGGGGGGCAGCAGUGGGGAAUAUUGGACAAUGGGGGAAACCCUGAUCCAGCGACGCCGCGUGAGUGAAGAAGUAUUUCGGUACGUAAAGCUCUAUCAGCAGGAAAGAAAAUGACGGUACCUGACUAAGAAGCCCCGGCUAACUACGUGCCAGCAGCCGCGGUAAUACGUAGGGGGCAAGCGUUAUCCGGAUUUACUGGGUGUAAAGGGAGCGUAGACGGAUAAGCAAGUCUGAUGUGAAAAUCCGGGGCCCAACCCCGGAAUUGCAUUGGAAACUGCAUAUCUAGAGUGUCGGAGAGGC
This 305-nucleotide ribosomal RNA is filed under the name uncultured bacterium. Its description in RNAcentral is "bacterial SSU rRNA". It matches the Rfam family "Bacterial small subunit ribosomal RNA", at positions 335 to 658 of the family's 1533-position model. The record is from RNAcentral.